Molecule: long non-coding RNA, 796 nt
Organism: Erpetoichthys calabaricus (reedfish)
Lineage: Eukaryota; Metazoa; Chordata; Cladistia; Polypteriformes; Polypteridae
Exons: 3
Source: RefSeq, a predicted model, not a curated record
CGCCAUUCGAGUGAGAAGGAGAAAGAAGAACGCUGUAGUGUAGAGAAUAGGAGCAUAUUGAAUUUUUCUCCUGGCAGAAGAAUAAUUUUCACUUCUUGAAAAAAUGAAGACUUUUCAAUUUUACAACGACUUGAAAGAAUAUCUUUUACGGGAAGAAUUUAGCAACAAUUUAACGGUCAGAGAGCGAAGUGAAAUACGACGUGUGUCCGUGAAUUUUAUGAUUAAAGUCCAUCAUCCAUGCCCUGGCUGCUCUACAGGGUGUAUCAGGACAGGAGGCAGAAGACUUAUUUCUUGGUGGCCCAGAAUACAGUAUCAGUGAAGUGGAAGAAUUUAACUGAAAGAUAGGGCAGCAAUUAAAGAAGGAGGGAAUGCUGUGAUAUCUGUUGGAAUAGAAGAUGAUGCUACUGCCCAGUGCUUCCAGAAUCCUUCAUUUGAGUCUUGGGUCUGAAUCUACUGCGUCACUGCCAAGUAUUCUGGGGUAAUGUAUCUUGUUUUGUUUACAUUUUGUUUUUCUUCAUAUUCCAAGCUCAUUUACUUGACCUUAGCUUUAAUAAACUGGAUGGCUGUCUCCUUCACAAUUGAUUUUAAAGUACUAUACUAUUCAUUACAUAAAAAGCUCUGAACAGUUUAGUCCCUUCCUCUAUUUGGUACUGUCUCUCCCCCAUCACUCCUCAGUGUAAUCUUUAAUCCACAACCACUAAUUUGCUUAUGAAAGAACUGGUGAAGCAGCUUGCACAUGUAUACCAAAAAUAUAGAAUGCCGGCUAUAAAUGAAAAACCUUUCAAAUACUUUUAAA